This 254-nucleotide ribosomal RNA is filed under the name uncultured bacterium. RNAcentral's name for it is "partial 16S ribosomal RNA". It matches the Rfam family "Bacterial small subunit ribosomal RNA", at positions 524 to 776 of the family's 1533-position model. The record is from RNAcentral.
UACGUAGGGUCCGAGCGUUGUCCGGAAUUACUGGGCGUAAAGAGCUCGUAGGUGGUUUGUCGCGUUGUUCGUGAAAACUCACAGCUUAACUGUGGGCGUGCGGUCGAUACGGGCAUCACUGGAGUUCGGCAGGGGAGACUGGAAUUCCUGGUGUAGCGGUGAAAUGCGCAGAUAUCAGGAGGAACACCGGUGGCGAAGGCGGCAUCCUGGACCGACAUUGACGCUGAGGAGCGAAAGCUAGGGGAGCAAACGGG